AGGAUGAACGCUGGCGGCGUGCUUAACACAUGCAAGUCGAACGGUCACUUCGGUGACAGUGGCGCACGGGUGAGUAACACGUAGCUAACCUGCCCUCGAGUUCGGAAUAACGUCCCGAAAGGGAUGCUAAUACCGGAUAAGCUCCCGAUGAGUAAGUAAUCGGGAAGAAAAGGAGCAAUCCGCUUGAAGAGGGGCUGCGACCCAUCAGGUAGUUGGUGUAGGUAAAAGCGACACCAAGCCGACGACGGGUAGGGGCCUGAGAGGGUCGUCCCCGACGACGUGGACUGAGACGACGGCCCAGACUCCGUACGGGAGCAGCAGUGAGGAAUAGUGACACAAGUGGGACAAAGCCUGAUGCAGCGACGCGCGUGGUGA
This 375-nucleotide ribosomal RNA is filed under the name uncultured soil bacterium. RNAcentral's name for it is "bacterial SSU rRNA". It matches the Rfam family "Bacterial small subunit ribosomal RNA", at positions 26 to 407 of the family's 1533-position model. The record is from RNAcentral.